GAUGAACGCUGGCGGCGUGCCUAAUACAUGCAAGUCGAGCGAACCACUUCGGUGGUGAGCGGCGAACGGGUGAGUAACACGUAGGUGAUCUGCCCAUCAGACGGGGACAACGAUUGGAAACGAUCGCUAAUACCGGAUAGGACGAAAGUUUAAAGGUGCUUCUGGCACCGCUGAUGGAUGAGCAUGCGGCCCAUUAGCUAGUUGGAAGGGUAAAGGCCUACCAAGGCGACGAUGCGUAGCCGACCUGAGAGGGUGAACGGCCACACUGGGACUGAGACACGGCCCAGACUACUACGGGGGGCAUCAGUAGGGAAUCUUCGGCAAUGGGCGAAGGCCUGACCGAGCAACGCCGCGUGAAUGAUGAAGGCCUUCGGGUUGUAAAAUUCUGUUAUAAGGGAAGAACGACUUUAGUAGGAAAUGGCUAGAGUGUGACGGUACCUUAUGAGAAAGCCACGGCUAACUACGUGCCAGCCGCCGCUGUAA
This 483-nucleotide ribosomal RNA is filed under the name uncultured bacterium. RNAcentral describes it as "partial 16S ribosomal RNA". It matches the Rfam family "Bacterial small subunit ribosomal RNA", at positions 28 to 523 of the family's 1533-position model. The record is from RNAcentral.